RNAcentral lists this non-coding RNA (28 nucleotides) under Mus musculus (house mouse). Lineage: Eukaryota; Metazoa; Chordata; Mammalia; Rodentia; Muridae. The record is from RNAcentral.
UCCAAAGAUGCCCAACCGCCGACUUUCC